UACAGAGGUGGCAAGCGUUGUUCGGAAUUACUGGGCGUAAAGGGCGAGUAGGUGGCCAUCUAAGUCAGACGUGAAAUCCCCCGGCUUAACCUGGGAACUGCGUCUGAUACUGGACGGCUUGAGUAUGGGAGAGGAACGUAGAAUUCCAGGUGUAGCGGUGAAAUGCGUAGAUAUCGAGAGGAACACCAAUGGCGAAGGCAGCUCGCUGGGACGGUACUGACGCUGAGGCGCGAAAGCGUGGGGAGCAAACAGG
RNAcentral lists this ribosomal RNA (253 nucleotides) under uncultured bacterium. RNAcentral's name for it is "partial 16S ribosomal RNA". It matches the Rfam family "Bacterial small subunit ribosomal RNA", at positions 524 to 776 of the family's 1533-position model. The record is from RNAcentral.